GAUGAACGCUGGCGGCGUGCUUAACACAUGCAAGUCGAACGGAAAGGCUCCUGCUUGCAGGGGUACUCGAGUGGCGAACGGGUGAGUAACACGUGGGUGAUCUGCCCUGCACUUCGGGAUAAGCCUGGGAAACUGGGUCUAAUACCGGAUAGGACGAUGGUUUGGAUGCCAUUGUGGAAAGUUUUUCGGUGUGGGAUGAGCUCGCGGCCUAUCAGCUUGUUGGUGGGGUAAUGGCCUACCAAGGCGUCGACGGGUAGCCGGCCUGAGAGGGUGUACGGCCACAUUGGGACUGAGAUACGGCCCAGACUCCUACGGGAGGCAGCAGUGGGGAAUAUUGCACAAUGGGCGCAAGCCUGAUGCAGCGACGCCGCGGGGGGGAUGACGGCCUUCGGGUUGUAAACUCCUUUCGCUAGGGACGAAGCGCAAGUGACGGUACCUGGAGAAGAAGCACCGGCUAACUACGUGC
Molecule: ribosomal RNA, 466 nt
Filed under: uncultured bacterium
Lineage: Bacteria
Description: partial 16S ribosomal RNA
Rfam family: Bacterial small subunit ribosomal RNA
Source: RNAcentral